UAUGAUGAGUCUUAUUGAUCUUUGUUUCAACCAUGCCCCACAUGAAAUAUUCAAAAGGGCUGCAAUCUGGGCUGGACGGACGCCACAAAUCAGGGCUGGUUACUGAAAAGCUAGGCCUAACGGCAGUAUCGCUAUCGGAAAAUGGCGCUAUACGGCGGCCAUUUUCCAAUCGAUCUUGUUUUUUUCAGUCAACAGUUGUUGGUUCCUGAGGACAAAAGCUUUGUACCCCAAAUCCUUCUGCACUGCCAGACUGACUGUUGUCCUUGCCAUGCCCAUUUCUUUUGCCAGGUCAGCCAUGCUCUGCACUGGAUUCUGGACGAUCUUAUCCUUCAUUUCAUAGACAAAUUUGUCACUCCUCUUGCUAUCAGAUCG
RNAcentral lists this long non-coding RNA (372 nucleotides) under Androctonus crassicauda. Lineage: Eukaryota; Metazoa; Arthropoda; Arachnida; Scorpiones; Buthidae. The record is from RNAcentral.